GAUUGAACGCUGGCGGCAGGCCUAACACAUGCAAGUCGAACGGUAGCACAGAGGAGCUUGCUCCUUGGGUGACGAGUGGCGGACGGGUGAGUAAUGUCUGGGAAACUGCCUGAUGGAGGGGGAUAACUACUGGAAACGGUAGCUAAUACCGCAUAACGUCGCAAGACCAAAGAGGGGGACCUUCGGGCCUCUUGCCAUCAGAUGUGCCCAGAUGGGAUUAGCUAGUAGGUGGGGUAAUGGCUCACCUAGGCGACGAUCCCUAGCUGGUCUGAGAGGAUGACCAGCCACACUGGAACUGAGACACGGUCCAGACUCCUACGGGAGGCAGCAGUGGGGAAUAUUGCACAAUGGGCGCAAGCCUGAUGCAGCCAUGCCGCGUGUAUGAAGAAGGCCUUCGGGUUGUAAAGUACUUUCAGCGGGGAGGAAGGCAUUGUGGUUAAUAACCACAGUGAUUGACGUUACCCGCAGAAGAAGCACCGGCUAACUCCGUGCCAGCAGCCGCGGUAAUACGGAGGGUGCAAGCGUUAAUCGGAAUUACUGGGCGUAAAGCGCACGCAGGCGGUCUGUCAAGUCGGAUGUGAAAUCCCCGGGCUCAACCUGGGAACUGCAUUCGAAACUGACAGGCUAGAGUCUUGUAGAGGGGGGUAGAAUUCCAGGUGUAGCGGUGAAAUGCGUAGAGAUCUGGAGGAAUACCGGUGGCGAAGGCGGCCCCCUGGACAAAGACUGACGCUCAGGUGCGAAAGCGUGGGGAGCAAACAGGAUUAGAUACCCUGGUAGUCCACGCUGUAAACGAUGUCGACUUGGAGGUUGUGCCCUUGAGGCGUGGCUUCCGGAGCUAACGCGUUAAGUCGACCGCCUGGGGAGUACGGCCGCAAGGUUAAAACUCAAAUGAAUUGACGGGGGCCCGCACAAGCGGUGGAGCAUGUGGUUUAAUUCGAUGCAACGCGAAGAACCUUACCUACUCUUGACAUCCACAGAACUUACCAGAGAUGCUUUGGUGCCUUCGGGAACUCUGAGACAGGUGCUGCAUGGCUGUCGUCAGCUCGUGUUGUGAAAUGUUGGGUUAAGUCCCGCAACGAGCGCAACCCUUAUCCUUUGUUGCCAGCGAUCCGGUCGGGAACUCAAAGGAGACUGCCAGUGAUAAACUGGAGGAAGGUGGGGGAUGACGUCAAGUCAUCAUGGCCCUUACGAGUAGGGCUACACACGUGCUACAAUGGCGCAUACAAAGAGAAGCGAACUCGCGAGAGCAAGCGGACCUCAUAAAGUGCGUCGUAGUCCGGAAUCGGAGUCUGCAACUCGACUCCGUGAAGUCGGAAUCGCUAGUAAUCGUGGAUCAGAAUGCCACGGUGAAUACGUUCCCGGGCCUUGUACACACCGCCCGUCACACCAUGGGGAAUUGGGUUGCAAAAAGAAGUAGGUAGCUUAACCUUUCGGGAGGGCGCUUACCACUUUGUGAUUCAUGACUGGGGGUGA
Molecule: ribosomal RNA, 1473 nt
Filed under: Citrobacter youngae
Lineage: Bacteria; Pseudomonadati; Pseudomonadota; Gammaproteobacteria; Enterobacterales; Enterobacteriaceae
Description: bacterial SSU rRNA
Rfam family: Bacterial small subunit ribosomal RNA
Source: RNAcentral